Nelumbo nucifera (sacred lotus) is the source of this 1655-nucleotide RNA transcript. RefSeq lists it as uncharacterized. The record is from RefSeq and is a predicted model, not a curated record. NCBI's taxonomy places the organism in Eukaryota, Viridiplantae, Streptophyta, Magnoliopsida, Proteales, Nelumbonaceae.
CAGAGAUGCUAAGCAGUUGGUUACGCUUCCAUUCAGAAAGGCCAAGAAGCUUUGCAGAAAAAAGAAUUAUUCUUCCGCAAGGAAUCCAGUGGGAAAUGUUGAGGUUGGAGCAUUGCAGGUGACUAGGACAAUCCGUGGCUGUCAUUCUUUCAGAUACCUCAAUUGAAUACUGAAUCAUGAGAGUGAUUGAUUCUCUUUGCCAAGCAUUGGUGCCAAUGACUGAGAAAAUAAAGGCUUGAUGCUAUCUUCUCAUUGCCUAUAAAUAAUGGUAAUAGAUCACCAAUUAUUGAAAUUGAAGUAAUCCAUUGACUGAGAAAAUAACUGAAGUAUCAUGUUCCUAUUUUCACAGGUGGAUUAACCUUCCCCCUCCCCCUCCAGGAUCAUUCAUCUUUUCAUAGCAUUCAAUAGGUUCCCUUCAAAACCCUGUGACAGUUUGAUGCAGACAAAGAGGGAAUUCCAAAUGAACUAUGGUUUUGUUGGGGAAAAAUGAACACAAGCUUAAUAUAGUUGGGGGCAUCUUCUUUAUUAAAAAAAAAAAAAACACUUGAAUUAUUAAAUUGUCAGAGCACAAAUAUUGAGUCGUUUGCUCAUUACCUAAUAUUUUUUUUAAGAAAAAGAAAAGAUUUAUUAAGGAUUAAAAAGAAUGGAGCUUUAGACAUUACCCUCAAAACAAAACUAGGAGCAAAAGCUUGAUACAAAAAUCAAAAACAGACAAAAAAACUAAGAAGAAUAUCAGGGUGAUAACCUUUGUUUAUUCUAAAUGAUCUUCAUGCAGUUUCUGGUUGAAUCGUCUCUUGGGCCUUCUUAAACUUAGAAUUCUUUUUCUUCCUCUUGUUUUCCACUGUCAAUCUUGAUUUGAAUCAUUCUUCUCCUUGGAAAUAGUAGGUUUAAUUAGAUUUUCACCAACUUGAUCACCUUUCUUCGCAGGAGUAGCUAAUUGAUCAAAGUUCACUUUGUGCCUUGCUUCAGAAACACCUUGAGCUCUAUAUCAAUGAGAUAAACCGUAAAGGAGGACGACCAUGGACACAUUUUCCAAUCAAAGCAUACUUCAGCGGUGAGAGGGAUCUCUGUAUCUCUUCAGGAAAUAGCACGGCUGGCUCAUCCCAAUGGAGAGUAGGGCUUCUCUCUUCAAUAAUGAUAUUCUCAGGGACUACAGGCGUUAAGACAGUAUCCAACCGAAGUAAUUAAGCAAAAGACGGCAGCUGGGUAUGGGGAAUACCUGGUGGAUCUGAUGGCUUCUCUAGGGUUCCCAUCCUAACGAAUCGAUGCUUGCAAACUUCAACAACCUGAUCUCCAACCCCCCAAAAAAGUGGAGAGGAGGAACUCAAAUCAUCACACUUGCACUGGAAGUAAAGAAAGUGGAACUAACCUACCAUUUGCUGUGUAUUUACCAACAGAAAAAAAAAGAAGGGUAUCUAUUUACUAACAGAAGAAAAAUUAGGAAGCCCCUAGCCCUGAACUAACCUACCAUUAUCUUUGUUGCUACCUUCCUUUCAAAUUUCAAUCAAUUAUUCGUCAAUAAGCUUUAAUGUCUUCUCUUCCAAUACCAAUCAUUGUUCAUCACAAUCAAUAGAAGUACUUGUCUUUGUGCUUAUUUAAACUUUAACAAAGUGAUUGCAAGUAUGAGAGAUGGGAGUCUAGCAUCGAUCACGUUG